RNAcentral lists this transfer RNA (68 nucleotides) under Marmota monax (woodchuck). It matches the Rfam family "tRNA". Rfam says of the family: Transfer RNA (tRNA) molecules are approximately 80 nucleotides in length. Their secondary structure includes four short double-helical elements and three loops (D, anti-codon, and T loops). Further hydrogen bonds mediate the characteristic L-shaped molecular structure. tRNAs have two regions of fundamental functional importance: the anti-codon, which is responsible for specific mRNA codon recognition, and the 3' end, to which the tRNAs corresponding amino acid is attached (by aminoacyl-tRNA synthetases). tRNAs cope with the degeneracy of the genetic code in two manners: having more than one tRNA (with a specific anti-codon) for a particular amino acid; and 'wobble' base-pairing, i.e. permitting non-standard base-pairing at the 3rd anti-codon position. The record is from Rfam by way of RNAcentral. Lineage: Eukaryota; Metazoa; Chordata; Mammalia; Rodentia; Sciuridae.
GUUGUGGUUCAGUGGUAGAGCACUUGCCUAGCAUCCAUGAGGAACUGAGUUUGAUCCUCAGCACAACA